This 199-nucleotide ribosomal RNA is filed under the name uncultured bacterium. RNAcentral describes it as "partial 16S ribosomal RNA". It matches the Rfam family "Bacterial small subunit ribosomal RNA", at positions 326 to 539 of the family's 1533-position model. The record is from RNAcentral.
ACGCUCGACACCUACGGGAAGCAGCAGUCGGGAAUAUUGCGCAAUGGAGGAAACUCUGACGCAGUGACGCCGCGUAUAGGAAGAAGGUUUUCGGAUUGUAAACUAUUGUCGUUAGGGAAGAAAAAAGACAGUACCUAAGGAGGAAGCUCCGGCUAACUACGUGCCAGAAGCCGCGGUAAUCUGAGCGGGCUGGCAAGGC